This 1728-nucleotide long non-coding RNA is filed under the name Brassica rapa (field mustard). RNAcentral's name for it is "long non-coding RNA (BRAP_LNC007915)". The record is from RNAcentral. Lineage: Eukaryota; Viridiplantae; Streptophyta; Magnoliopsida; Brassicales; Brassicaceae.
AAAUACACGACAUCAAAAAAGUAUACUUUCCAUCGCUGCAAAUUAAGGGGUUAUGUUUGUAUAUGCAAUGCAAUUUCUCUUUUUUUUUUGAUCAACCAAAUACUUAGAUUAACGAGAGGGUUUUUAAACAACAGAGGAUGGCUUACUGAUUAAAUGGGCCGCUAAACAACAUUUUGCGAGCCCAUCAGCAAGACCAUUUUGAGAACGGGGAAUGUAAAGGAAACGACAAGACUGAAAAGCUGAAGACGGUGAGAAGGCUAAAUCGUGGAUAUCGGCGAGAACCCCGAAGAGUUCCGAUGAUCGUCGGCGUGCGGAGAUCGUGUUAACGAGUACUUGAGAGUCUGAUUUGACACAGAUAUGGUGGUAAUUGAGAGACGCUGCUUGGAGAAGGGCUUCUCGGAUCGCUAAGGCUUCGGCCAUGCACGGUGAGGAGACGAAAUCUUGAGCACUUGAUCCUCUUUGGAGCUCCUGCGAAGAGGGAUCAGUGAAGAUCCAGGCCAGACCCGCCGAUCUGAUCCCUCCCUUCCAUGAGGCGUCCGUAUUGCAGAUGAUUUCCCUUGAGGUUUCUACUGGCUCUUGGUUCUGGUAUGAGCUCUUAGGAGUUGAUUCCUUCUUCAGCGGUUGCGCUAAUUCCCAUUCUUUGAGGGAUCCUAUGGCUUUUGCGAAGACUUCUCCCGCUGUUUGUCGGCGAUUCUCAAAGAGGAGGAGAUUUCGCGAGAUCCAUAAGGUCCAGCAGAUCCAUGGGAGGGCAUUUCCAGUAAAACCAUAUGGAGGCAGGGGAACUUGUAGCAUAGCGUAUUGUACCUUGUCGAAGAAAGAGGUCUGUUGAGAAGUGUCCAAAGUGUGUUCCCACGGUCCCAGAUUCCAUACUUCCAUUGCAAAGGGGCAUUGGAAGAGGAUAUGCGAGACAGUUUCUAACUCUCCGCAGCGGUGGCACAUUGUAUUUGUAAGCAAACCUCUUGUGUACAAAUUUGCUCCUGUCGGGAGAGCGUUGUUUCCCACCGCUUCAACUUUGGUGACAAGGGUGGGCUCCAAAUAAGUUUAUUUCAUGGGUGAACCUCCCUAGCCAAGAGUAUGCUAGUCGAUUAGUUUUUUGUAGCUUGUAUUGCGUUGUAUCCCGUUUUGACAGUGUAAAUACCUGAUUUUUGCAGGGGCCAGAUGAAAGUGUCUGGUGACCCCAGGAUGCUGGGUCGCAGAGUUAGUAUGUGGUCUUUAAGUUCAGGUAGGAGGUUUUCCACUUUUGCUUCGUUCCAUUCUCUUGUUUCUCUAGUAAGUAAAUCUGAAACCAUGAGAUCUCUGUCUUGCAGGGACAUAGGACCGAAAGGCUUUAUGUUCUCAUCAGGUUUAAUCCACGAAUCAUUCCAAACCGAGGUUGAUUCCCCAUCUCCAAUGGCUUUUCCUAGGUGGCUUAGUAGUAGAUUCCUACCUAGUAGGAUUCCUCUCCAGCCAUGUGAGACAUUACUAGCCGCUUGUACCUUUAGAAAAGAGACUUUGUUGCAAUACUUGCUUAGGAGAAUUUUCGCUAGCAGGGAAUCCGGAAAAGUACUUGAAAUUGUGUAUAGAAAAAGAUUUUUAACAUUUUUCGGAAAUUUAUAUAAAUAUAAAACUAAGAUUUAUAAAUGACCUAUUGACUAUAUGUCUGGGCCAAGGCCACAUAUGGAACCAGACUGUAAAAGAACAGUAUGAACACUAAAGAAUAAGGCUACGACAUUAUGAAUUUAUGAUCGA